UUCUCAACGUGAUAGUUUGAU
This 21-nucleotide non-coding RNA is filed under the name Caenorhabditis elegans. Lineage: Eukaryota; Metazoa; Nematoda; Chromadorea; Rhabditida; Rhabditidae. The record is from RNAcentral.